CCCCUCUGGCGACUGUUGCCUGAACUUUCCUGGGGACGGCGCUUGCCACGCCAGCCCCGGGUUCUCCAGCAUCAGAGCCCAAGGACAGGCCGCUCAGAAACCCUGGUGUGGGUCCUGCCUAUGACAAGGGCGGGCGGCAGGCUCCCGAGGUAAUGUGAGCUCCGCAGGGGCAGGCACCAGUCUGCUGUCUGUCCCGUUUGCGGCUCUUUCUCAAGCUUCCAGCACACGCCUGGUGCCCAGGGAAUGAAGGGAGAAACUGGCCGGGUGGCUUGCAGGGACUUCAAGGGACCCUUAAACAGGAGAAGGUUUUCAUGAAUCCUGUUG
Long non-coding RNA from Talpa occidentalis (Iberian mole), 324 nucleotides. RefSeq lists it as uncharacterized. Lineage: Eukaryota; Metazoa; Chordata; Mammalia; Eulipotyphla; Talpidae. The record is from RefSeq and is a predicted model, not a curated record. The transcript has 4 exons.